RNAcentral lists this transfer RNA (86 nucleotides) under Candidatus Thorarchaeota archaeon. RNAcentral describes it as "tRNA-Ser". It matches the Rfam family "tRNA". From Rfam's summary of the family: Transfer RNA (tRNA) molecules are approximately 80 nucleotides in length. Their secondary structure includes four short double-helical elements and three loops (D, anti-codon, and T loops). The record is from RNAcentral. Lineage: Archaea; Promethearchaeati; Candidatus Thorarchaeota.
GCCGGGGUAUCCAAGCGGCUACGGAGACGGUCUCGAAAACCGUUGCCCUUACGGGCACAGGGGUUCGAAUCCCUUCCCCGGCGCCA